GCAGAACAGCGGGGAUGUGCAGCCACAAGCACCUGCCGCCUUUGGUCGCACAGCUUGAAGCAAUGCCCGUCUGCUGGGCCUCUGGUUUCCUGAAGAAGCUUUAAACAUCGACCCUCUCAAAGCUGAUUAUUGAGCUAUUCUACGCAUUGGCCUUUUUAACACUCGAAACGUGUAUUUACAUAUUUUCCAGUGAGAAGACCUUUUGUUAUGCUGUAAAGCACUAUUAUCCGGAGUGCUGGAGUGAAUUUCUAGCUAUUAAGGUAAUGUGAGAAGUGGAG
This is a long non-coding RNA of Empidonax traillii (willow flycatcher), 278 nucleotides long. RefSeq lists it as uncharacterized. The transcript has 3 exons. The record is from RefSeq and is a predicted model, not a curated record. Lineage: Eukaryota; Metazoa; Chordata; Aves; Passeriformes; Tyrannidae.